GCGUAGGAAUCUGCCUAGUAGUGGGGACAACAUGUGGAAACGCAUGCUAAUACCGCAUAAGCCCUACGGGGAAAGGAGGGAUCUUCGGACCUUUCGCUAUUGGAUGAGCCUGCGUGAGAUUAGCUUGUUGGUGAGGUAAAGGCUCACCAAGGCGACGAUCUCUAGCUGGUCUGAGAGGAUGACCAGCCACACUGGAACUGAGACACGGUCCAGACUCCUACGGGAGGCAGCAGUGGGGAAUCUUGCGCAAUGGGCGAAAGCCUGACGCAGCGACGCCGCGUGGGUGAUGAAGGCCUUCGG
RNAcentral lists this ribosomal RNA (300 nucleotides) under uncultured Marinomonas sp. RNAcentral's name for it is "bacterial SSU rRNA". It matches the Rfam family "Bacterial small subunit ribosomal RNA", at positions 115 to 421 of the family's 1533-position model. Lineage: Bacteria; Pseudomonadati; Pseudomonadota; Gammaproteobacteria; Oceanospirillales; Oceanospirillaceae. The record is from RNAcentral.